CUUGCUUCUCUUGAGAGCGGCGGACGGGUGAGUAAUGCCUAGGAAUCUGCCUGGUAGUGGGGGAUAACGUUCGGAAACGGACGCUAAUACCGCAUACGUCCUACGGGAGAAAGCAGGGGACCUUCGGGCCUUGCGCUAUCAGAUGAGCCUAGGUCGGAUUAGCUAGUUGGUGGGGUAAUGGCUCACCAAGGCGACGAUCCGUAACUGGUCUGAGAGGAUGAUCAGUCACACUGGAACUGAGACACGGUCCAGACUCCUACGGGAGGCAGCAGUGGGGAAUAUUGGACAAUGGGCGAAAGCCUGAUCCAGCCAUGCCGCGUGUGUGAAGAAGGUCUUCGGAUUGUAAAGCACUUUAAGUUGGGAGGAAGGGUUGUAGAUUAAUACUCUGCAAUUUUGACGUUACCGACAGAAUAAGCACCGGCUAACUCUGUGCCAGCAGCCGCGGUAAUACAGAGGGUGCAAGCGUUAAUCGGAAUUACUGGGCGUAAAGCGCGCGUAGUGGUUUGUUAAGUUGGAUGUGAAAUCCC
This 527-nucleotide ribosomal RNA is filed under the name uncultured bacterium. Its description in RNAcentral is "bacterial SSU rRNA". It matches the Rfam family "Bacterial small subunit ribosomal RNA", at positions 79 to 603 of the family's 1533-position model. The record is from RNAcentral.